This is a long non-coding RNA of Chrysemys picta bellii (western painted turtle), 2427 nucleotides long. RefSeq lists it as uncharacterized. The record is from RefSeq and is a predicted model, not a curated record. NCBI's taxonomy places the organism in Eukaryota, Metazoa, Chordata, Testudines, Emydidae.
UGGCAGAGGAGGAGGAGGCGGCGGUAGAGGAGGAGGAGAGGAGGGGGUGAGCGGAGGAGGGCAGUGAGCAGGGGUGGAAAUGGGAACCGGAGCGAGAAGCGGGAUGGAGGGGGGUUGGAAACCAGAGACCCAAAGAGGUUUUCCCAGCCCCUGGAAAAGUGAACAAGAAAUAUGCUCCUCCAAGAAGUAGUUGCAGUUGGAAGCAUACCACAGAAGAAAUGGAACUCACCUAACCAAGAGACCUAACAAUGCAAAUGGAAAGAAAGAUUCUCUCUUUUAUAUUAUGCUAGAUGAAAGAGAUGGACAAGGCACACUUUAAAAGACCACAAUACAGAGGCAGGAGGUGGGACUAAAUAGAGUACCUAUUCAAGUUGUACAUGGAACCAUAGUCACUUGCAUGAUCUACUGUAAAGUUUUACAGCAAGAAUGAUGAUGGACAUGUGUAACAAAAUAAGAAACAGACAUAAUUAAACAACCCCCUAUCACAGAUAUUAUAAAAUCACAAUAUAUUGGAAAUAGUAUAACCCUGAUCAAAAAGCAAUGCGAUACAGUUGGAGCAAUCUACAGUUUAUAAAAUAGGGUUCAAAGCCCACCCAGUGAAAUGCAAAGAAUAGCAAACUACUGAAACUGGUAAAGUAUUCACAAAAUAAAUGGGUAUAUGUAAAGAUAAAUAGAUAUUUUUCCCCAUGAUGCAUUGGGGGAAAGACCAUACUAACUAGAUAGACUUGAAAGCAACAAGUUUGCACAAGCUAUGAGAGAACAGGAAAAUUAAACUCAUUUACUGAUAAAGUGCACAAGCGUAGACAUACUGUAUAUGAAAGAAAAGCUAUAUUAGAAGCAGAAGAAAGUUUUAAUUGAUGCAUGAAAAUAUGUACCGAAUUGGAGAAACAGUACUUCAGGGUAACAACUUGAAAAAAAAAAUUGUAUUAAAAGAGGCAGAGAAGCUGUAAAACUUAGAGUUAUUUUUUUAAUGUAGGCAACAGGGAGCUAAUAUUAAUCAUAACAUACAAAAUGCAAACUACAACAAUAUAAUUUCUGAACAAAGAAAAUACAAAUCAAUAAAUGCUGUGAAGAGUAAAGGUAUCACCACAUAUACAUUACUAUAACAAAAGCAAAGCAUCAAAAGUAGGCAAAGAAACACAAGCUGACAUCUACUGAAAUAAGCACAAGCAACAUACAGGGCACACAGGAAAAGAAAAUGGUAAUAGGGUGAAAUACAUAAAAUAUUUAUCAUAUUCAGCAAUGCACAAAAUAGAUUAUAAUCACAGAAGCAAAGAAAUAGCAAUGCUUGAAAAUGAAUAUAUUAUAUAAUAUUCAAAGAUGUGAAAGUGGAAUACUUGUGAAACACAGUUGUACACAUUGUGUUUCAUAAGGUUAUUAAAAUUAUUACUGAAAGUGCAUACUAGGAAAAAAAAAGGAAAAUAAGAAUCAUUCUUUACAAAGAAAAAAGAAAAUGUGGAUGACACUUUCUAUAACAGAUGAUCAAGGGAUAACUAUCUUGCAGGUUGUUUAUUUAGAAACUGAUCUUUUUCCACCAGAUAGUUUGAAUUUUAUUUAGUCAUUGAAAGAUGGAAUCUUUACCCAAAACAUUCCAACAUUGAAAAAUCUGAUUUAAAUAGUUGAACCUAAACUUUGUGGAAAUAGUGGAGAACGACUACACUGGAUCAGUUCUCACCUUUUCAGAAUGGCCUUUGUAGCGCUAAAGUUUAGAAGAUGAAAAAAGACUGACCACUGGAGUACACUAAAGAAAAGAGGAAGAUGCUGAAAAAUGAGAAGCUGGAAGCAAAGAGGAAAGCCAGCAUCAUAUGAUCUGCCAGAUCUUCUACCUCGCAAGCAAGUGUUCCACAGGUCACCAGUAGCCCUCAGGUCACAGUUUGAAAGGCUCUGGUUUAAGUUCAUUAUAAUUUUGUAGGUAUAUAGAUGUGGAAUUUCCCUGUGCCAUACCUGAGGGAUGUGCAGUUUCAAAUCUGGGUAGAACCAGUUGAGUUGUUUUGACUGAAGUCAUGAAAAUUCUGGAUUGAAGAUCUGAAUCUAUAAUCUUAAAAAGAAGGUUGGCAAGCAAGAGCCUGCAUAACUUCAUCUACUGUUACGGAGAUCUGUACACCCUGAUGGAGGGCUUGUAGAACCAUUAAAAAGUCAACAUUUGCCAACUGGAAGAGUCAGCUGCCAUGGAUAACACCGCAGGGAAAAGGAGGAAUGCACUGCUUCCAGAAGAAAAAAACAACAACAACAACGACACAGGCUUUUUGGACACUUCCCUCUAUGUUCUUGUUUUACUUAGAUUACUGUUUUUCCAGGGGAAAGAGGAAUUCCUUGGAGUCAGUUGUUUUUUUUUCAUUAGUUGUUUGUAUGCAGGAGUGGGUACAACUGUAGACAAUGAUUUUAUUUUUGUUAUAGAGCUUUAUAAUGUAUGUGGGCUAUCCAUUU